RNAcentral lists this ribosomal RNA (496 nucleotides) under uncultured bacterium. RNAcentral describes it as "bacterial SSU rRNA". It matches the Rfam family "Bacterial small subunit ribosomal RNA", at positions 28 to 523 of the family's 1533-position model. The record is from RNAcentral.
GAUGAACGCUAGCGGGAGGCCUAAUACAUACAAGUCGAACGGUAACAGGUAGCAAUACGCUGACGAGUGGCGCACGGGUGCGUAACGCGUACACAAUCUGCCUUAUACUGGGGCAUAGCCUUUGGAAACGAAGAAUAAUUCCCCAUAACAUAUAGAAGAGGCAUCUCUUUUAUAUUAAAGCUCAGGCGGUAUAAGAUGAGUGUGCGUCCGAUUAGGUAGUUGGUGAGGUAACGGCUCACCAAGCCAACGAUCGGUAGCUGGUCUGAGAGGAUGAUCAGCCACACGGGCACUGAGACACGGGCCCGACUCCUACGGGAGGCAGCAGUAGGGAAUAUUGGACAAUGGGCGCAAGCCUGAUCCAGCCAUCCCGCGUGAAGGAUGAAGGUCCUCUGGAUUGUAAACUUCUUUUCUUCGGGUAAUAAAAACUGGGUUCGUCUCAGCUUGAAGGUACCGAAGGAAUAAGCACCGGCUAACUCGUCGCCAGCAGCCGCGGUAA